GUAAUUUUUUUUAUUGGAUUAUUAAAACUUCCUAAGGUAUCGUAGGUGUGGUCAUUCAAAAGCAUUUUUAUUCAAUAUUAUAUUUAGAAAAAACAACAAGAUUGAUUUUAGACAUAAAAUAAAAUACGUUCAGUACUACAAAACAAUGAUAAUUAAAAAAUACGACUACAUCCAUGUAUAUUUAUGUUACAUAUUAUACAGAUUCUGAAAGAUGCUACCCCGUCACACCUCAUAACACAACACAAGAAAAAAGUACACCACUGGAGCACCCAAGAUUCUUGGAUUUAUAAAUAGGUAGCUAAUUUCUAUUUUGUGAAGAGCACUAAGUCUCCUUUGACAGGCACUUGACAUUAAAUAUUAAUGUGAAUAACAAGAACAAGAUUCUACAGCGAAAAUAUUGAAAUCGAAUGACGUAAACAUGGCGGUAUCAAUGGCACCCAAAACCCACAGUACACAGAGGAAAAUAGUAGGGACACGCAAAUCUAACUGUCAAAAAACAAUUGUUCCAAUUCACAGCCGCAGGAUGGCGCUGUUAUGACUAAAAUAUUACAAAAUUCUGUAUUGCAUUAGUUACGUAAUGGCGCCACAAGAUGCCGUAACAUGCAGCUAAAUCUUAUUUUAGGGAUUCCUAGUCGCGAUUUUAAUAUUUUGAUAUUCCGAUUUUCUGAUAGUUUUAUGUUUUAUUGCGGUUGUUUUAAUCAGUUUGUUUUGUAUAUUAUAGUGCUACUUCUAUAAUAGGUAGUGCUAGCUGUGCUAGUGACCCUAUAGUGCCCUGUACUAUUUAUAAUUUGACUAUUAUUAUUGGCAAGAGAUGGGAUGGAGGAGGAGGACCACUGUUUUCAGAAUAACCCUCCCAAAAGGAUAAAACAAAGACCAUGUUGUGUUCAGGAAUGUACAGAUUUCUCUAGUAAGCCGCAUCGGUUUCCGAAAAACAAUCGCAGGCUCCUAAGGGCUUGGAUAAAAGCUGUAAGACCAAAACAUUCUCCAGAGAAGAUUGUGUGCCAGGCACAGUUGGAGGUCUUAGAAUUAAUGCAGUCCCUACUAUUAAUCUACCAGUGGAUCAGGACAUCGAAGUAAGGGAUGAUUUGUUUGAAAAUACAGUAAUGUCAAUUGAUUGUGACAGUUCAUCUAUGGGAAUAGAUCUUAUAACACUACCAGAUCCCAUACUUAGCCAAAAUUUCCCUUUAACAAAUAUCAGUCAACAAGAGAAUAGGCCCAUGUCUGCUUCCUUUAAUUAUUUAGGAAAUACUUCUGCCUGCAUGCCUGUUCAGAGUUCAAAUCCAGUUAUAGCAGAGGUCCCUCUCAAGGUCCCCCUGGAAGGUUGUAUGGGCAAUAAGAUGGAUCUAAGUGACUUAUCAUUGGGUCACAAAUAUUUCAAAAUAAUAGAAAAUCAUCCCAACAGAAAAUUAUCCAGUACUCGUGGUAAAAUGAAAAUUUCAGGAGAGCACUUUUGGUGCUUACACUAUGAGACUUAACGAAUGUAGACUAAAUGUAGAAAAUACAUGGACAUCCCACCUUUUUUCUUUGUACUUUUCAUAUUUCAUUACAUUACAAUUACAUUUUGUCUUGAAUGUCCCAUAAUUUUAAGUACGACUAAUUAUAAUUUCUUGAUAAUAAACAGUUUGUAAAUAAAAUAUGGGUAUAACUUUA
This 1650-nucleotide long non-coding RNA is filed under the name Anthonomus grandis grandis. Its description in RNAcentral is "uncharacterized LOC126749798". Lineage: Eukaryota; Metazoa; Arthropoda; Insecta; Coleoptera; Curculionidae. The record is from RNAcentral.